Molecule: long non-coding RNA, 2176 nt
Organism: Acipenser ruthenus (sterlet)
Lineage: Eukaryota; Metazoa; Chordata; Actinopteri; Acipenseriformes; Acipenseridae
Exons: 3
Source: RefSeq, a predicted model, not a curated record
CAAGGUUAAGAAUGCCUCAAAAAAUGUUAGGUAAUGCCAUUUACAACCAUUUAAAUAAACAACACCCUUAAUGCACCGAAGAUCGUUAAUAAAACAAGUUACAAUAUCAGACUACACAUAGAUCUCAAAACCAAUUUCAUUACGUCAAUUUUUUGAGUUUUAUAAAAAGCUGGUUUGAGUCAUUCUUUUUUUUCUUUUUUUCCUAUUUUGAAUUUAUAUUUGAAAAUGUCGGUGGAAGUAAAGUGAUUUUUUCACAGGAUCAGCAGAUGGUCGGCCCUAAACUUUCCACUGCUGAGCGAAUGAUGUAAGAGAGAGGUGGUUAGAGGAUUGCUUGCUGGCAAAAGCACAAGAGAGCUUAAAGAAAUACUAAAAAGUAAAAUGUAAACGUUUUGACCGGAGAACAGCAGCAGACAAGCUGACUGGGUUAAAAGAGGAAAACAGCACUGUUGCAUAAGCUGGGAAUUUGCAGCCAGAGCAUGGGGGAAGAUAAUGGGCCAGGAGAUAUGCGGAACAUGGACACUCAGGAAUAUUUUUCUUUUGACAAGAUUGUUAAUUUGCAUUGGUUGAAAAAUAAGGAAGUCCGCAGUAAAUAAGACAUGCUAGUCUUCAUUGUAAAACAGUAGUGUUGUUUUAAAAGUGAACAGCUCGAUAUUAGCAUGGCCUUUGUGUGGGUCCAGUGAUCUCAUUUAUCACUUCAUUAUGGGUGGAGGGAGUUACACAAAGCAUUGUCUCAUUGCUGUCUUCUCUCUGACUCAGAGGGGCUUACAAUUAGUGGGGUGGGGUUGUUUGAGUGGAAUUCAAAUUGUAUUUUGCUUAAGAAAAAUUCACCUCUGUACACUGUUGAGCAAAUGAGGGUGUUUAAUUUUUUUUUUUUUUUUUUAAAGCGUUGCAACCCUACUGUGCAUUUUGGCUUUGGACGUGAUUGUGGGAGAGUCUUCCAGAAAUAACAGGCAAAAUCAUAUUUUCCGAAAACGUAGGCCGUUGACUGCAGACACAGAAUAAGUAGUGCUUGUUAUGCACAAUAUUUAUUUUGGAACAACAUUAUUAUUGCAUUUAAUAAUCUAAAGCGGAAGCGUAGGGGUUGAGAAAACCUCACUAUCAACAGUGUCUGUUUCAAGGACAGAUAUGCCAGCUCUCUUCACACUGUCCAUUUGUUCUGUUACCAACACAAUAUAUAGUAUGUUGUGGGAUAACUAUCCAACACCCUGUCGUGGCCCAACACUGUCCCAAAACCACGUAUUAGGUUUGACCAGCAAGAGAGCAAAAUGUGAUGUGGAGGGUAUUUGUUAUAUAUAUUUUCCAAAUACAGUGUUUCGUCUCUAUUUCACUAUCUGACUUGCAGAUCUAAAUAUUGAGAAUGGUGAAUUAGUGAAGGAAUAGUCCAAGACUAGUGUAGCACUUUACCGUUUCCUGCCAUCAUGAACAGGGAAAUAGGCAGGGAGAGCUGUAUGUAAUAAAGGAGGGUAAUAAUGCAAGCACUGGGGAAAAAUCAGCAGAAUUCAAAUAUAGUGAAGGGGUGGCUGUAGUGAGGUGUAUUGCUAUUUAGCUAAAAUACAUGUUAAUUGUGCUGUGUUUUUUUUUCUAAAACAAGAUCACUUGAAUCUACAUUUCCCAUAUCAGCUAGCUUAAACGGAAUACCAGGAAAAGCAAAUUGAUUUCCUUCUUUCCUGAAGUUUUGUUUUAUACUGAUGAUAAUGUAACCCCUCCAGUGUUUGUCUCUGCUAGGUUAUCAUUCAGAGUUCAGCCUGUGUGAUAAAAAAAAACAAAGCCUACAAAAGUUUCCUUGGAGCUCCUGCCGCUAAAGGGACUUUUUAAACAGGGGUUUUAACAACGCCUUGCUACAAGUGGGCCCUGUUUCUGUCUGUCACGCAUCAGAGACCACUUACUGACACCGUUAAAAAAAUAACAAAUCACAUUUCAUGUUAUGCAGUCUUGAGGUUCAAAUAUUGGAAAUGGAAACUCCGAAAAAAAAGUUGCUUCAGCGUGCCUGCUUUCCAGACCCGACAGACCGUGCUGAAUAUUUCUUCUCUUGAUUUUUCAUAGUCAUCGGGGGCAGGAUUUCAAAGAGCAAUUGGCGGGUCUGGGGGACCUCCCCCAUACACUUUUCAAAUGCUGCAUUUUGGCUCUCGGCACACUGUCAAUUCUUAUGUAACAAACUGACAUUACUGACUCCUGA